AAGACUAUACCUCCAGGAAUCAUUUCUAUAGUUUCUAACUUGAGAAAUGUGUUUCUAAAGUGACUGGUCUCACUAAUCACGAUGAAGAGGUAACUAUUCUUCUCUCUGAGCGCGAAACGAACUUCAGUUAGUGAGUCUCUCACAUGACUGUAAUGAAUGACCGUUCACUGUCGGUGACUGCUGACAGCGACGGGAGACGUAUGUUCAGAGUGGC
Molecule: small nucleolar RNA, 214 nt
Filed under: Oryzias javanicus (javanese ricefish)
Lineage: Eukaryota; Metazoa; Chordata; Actinopteri; Beloniformes; Adrianichthyidae
Description: Small nucleolar RNA U3 (ENSOJAG00000005206.1)
Rfam family: Small nucleolar RNA U3
About the family: Small nucleolar RNAs (snoRNAs) are involved in the processing and modification of rRNA in the nucleolus. There are two main classes of snoRNAs: the box C/D class, and the box H/ACA class.
Source: Rfam by way of RNAcentral